Molecule: transfer RNA, 72 nt
Filed under: Caenorhabditis briggsae
Lineage: Eukaryota; Metazoa; Nematoda; Chromadorea; Rhabditida; Rhabditidae
Rfam family: tRNA
About the family: Transfer RNA (tRNA) molecules are approximately 80 nucleotides in length.
Source: Rfam by way of RNAcentral
GCCUAUGUGGCCGAGUGGUUAAGGGACCAGACUUUGAAGCGGGAGGUCGGGGGUUCGAUCCCGCCUAGGGUA